RNAcentral lists this ribosomal RNA (393 nucleotides) under uncultured bacterium. Its description in RNAcentral is "partial 16S ribosomal RNA". It matches the Rfam family "Bacterial small subunit ribosomal RNA", at positions 523 to 918 of the family's 1533-position model. The record is from RNAcentral.
AUACGGAGGAUGCGAGCGUUAUCCGGAUUUAUUGGGUUUAAAGGGAGCGUAGGUGGGAUAUUAAGUCAGCUGUGAAAGUUUGGGGCUCAACCUUAAAAUUGCAGUUGAUACUGGUUUCCUUGAGUACGGUACAGGUGGGCGGAAUUCGUGGUGUAGCGGUGAAAUGCUUAGAUAUCACGAAGAACUCCGAUCGCGAAGGCAGCUCACCGGGCCGGAACUGACACUGAUGCUCGUAAGUGCGGGUAUCAAACAGGAUUAGAUACCCUGGUAGUCCACACAGUAAACGAUGAAUACUCGCUGUUUGCGAUAUACAGUAAGCGGCCAAGCGAAAGCGUUAAGUAUUCCACCUGGGGAGUACGCCGGCAACGGUGAAACUCAAAUGAAUUGACGGGG